This is a non-coding RNA of Achromatium sp. WMS3, 175 nucleotides long. Lineage: Bacteria; Pseudomonadati; Pseudomonadota; Gammaproteobacteria; Thiotrichales; Thiotrichaceae. The record is from Rfam.
UAGUUAGCCAAUGAGGAAUCUAAAAGAAGCUGGAACCAAAUUUGCCACUUAAACGAAAGUGAACCUUUAUUGAGGCGUACAGGGCUGGGUGGGGUGCCGCGAACCACCAAAGCCCAAUCAUCUACUCGUAACCCCUGUAUGUAUAGAAGGUAGGUGGGCAAAGAAAGAGGCGUUU